GUUCGGUUCCCAGCACCCACAUACAGGAGCUCCAACGACCUCUUCUGACUCCAUAGGCGCUGGUAUGUCUGUGGUGCACAGAUAUACAUGCAGGCAAACCACACGCACACAUGGAAAAAACAAAUUGUUUUAAAAGAAGUCUUAUACAAGACUAGCUACAAAUGCAUAUUUUGGUUUGGAUUAUAGAUUUUACCCCUAAAUACUAAAGAUUCAUAAACCUGAGUGUCAUGAUUACACUUCACACUAAAAUGGCCUUUUUCAGUUGAAAAAAAAAGCUAAGACCUCCUCAAAUGUUUCCUUCUUUAAAAAAAAAGUGAACAGCAUAAGGCAGACACAGUUUAUUAGAGAUGAGAGUCAUCUACAAAAUUCUGAGUUUGGCGUUCUACCCACAUAGUGUCCUAAACACAACAGAUACUUUUGUGUUUCUGUACUGUCACCCCUGGGGCCUAAUGGUUGCAGUUAGCAGACAGGUGCUGGAAUCUGGCAGAGAAAAUUAGGCUUUCUCCUCGGCUGAGGCAUUUCAGUUCUCCACUUCUCUUCAGGUAAAGACAGCAGUUCCUUCCCUGCAAGGUAGAGAUUUAAAGAAAACACUUCAUCUAGGGCCAAGUGCUACAGUAUCGCAGUCUAUCUCUUAAGGCUCCCAUGGGGUUUCAAUCAAGGAGAAACCAGAUUAACCCACCCCACCCCACCUCAACCCUAGAUUUCAAAGUAUUCACUAUUCCAUGUAUUCUUUUGUUACCAUUGAAUUUCUCCAAGGAACUCCAUCUGACAGUCCUGGACUAGUAGAUUCCUGCAAAAACCUUUUUCACAUUUCAACACUUUUCAAGAGUUCAUCGUGACCAAACCAUAAUAGAAGGUUCGGAAGGGACACUAGAGCUCUGCUGGAGGAGGACUUUGGGAAACAGCACUAUUCAAGAGCUGUAAUCGAGCUAAAAGCACAAUUUAAUUAAACACACACAUGAGACUUACCCAUACUCCAGAGUAUGCCAAUUUAAAUAUCCCAUUAAAAGAGCUAUUCUUAAUGACUGAGCUUUGGGGGGCAGUGUCUUGGAAUUUCCAACCCCAAUAAGCCUAUCUUAAAAAAAAAAAAAAAAACCACGUAAUCCAGUUAUUAUAAGUAUAAGAUAUAAGCCUAGAUUGGGCAGAUCUAACACUAUACUAACAUUCCCCAGCUAUAAGACCCCUUGCUACUUGUGGUUUCUCCUGGCCACGUGGUUCUGCUCCAACAUGGCUAUUGUCCUCACUGUCUUCCUUCCUCCUCUCGUCCUCCCUCUUCCCUACUUGUGCCCAUUCUCAGAGAUCUCCCGUUCUUCCUAUCCCACCACUGCCCAAAAAACGGGCUCUCGCCUUUAUUGACCAGUUAAAAUGGGAAGGUUCGCAGGACUUCACCUGCUGCGACUGCUCUAGGGGGCAACCCCUCUGGAGGAAGCAGAAUUAACAUCAGAAUACAAACAGCACCAGGACAACCCACAACCAAGCAGGAUUUAAACUGUGAGCCUAAGAUAAAUGGCUCUCUGCCUACCCUUUAGCCCCAAUCUUGUGAAUUCAUAAAGAGCUAAGGGUUAUCAUAACUGAGGAUCACUGAGGGGCUCCUAGAAGAGAUGAACCUUUCCUUCUCCAUGCUGUUGACAGCAUACUUAAGGGUAGCGAAAUCGACAAAGGAGAAUUUAAUUCCCUCACUGGGAAUUUUUUUUUUCCCAGUUUAUGUGUGCACAUUGAAAAACUCUUAGGUAACAGAUGUUGAAGUGGCCCCCACCCUCCCCCAUGGUUCCUACUGCAAAAUCGUUAUCCUCCACAAUUACACAAAAUAUAUAUUUUAGUGCUUUGAACACGUGGACCCCACUUAGAACCUCGUUGGCAGUGCUGCCUUGGGAGGCUUAGGAGAUGUACUUGUUCCUUGUUGGAGGAAGUACGUCACUAGGGGUAGGCUUUGAGAGUUUAAAGAUGCAUGCCAUUCCCAGUUCACUUUGUAUGAACACAAUCAAGUGUGUCUCUGCUUCCUGUAAGAUAAACGCUCUCAGUUUGCUGCUCCAAAUGCCAGCUGCCUGCUGCCAUGCCUCCCCAGCAUGACUGUGCCUAUCCCUCUGCAACUGUAAAACCAAAGAAACUCUUCUGUCAGUUGCCUUGGUCAUGGUGAUUUAUCACAGCAAUAGAAAAUAAACUAAUACAAUAUUGCUGG
This 2179-nucleotide long non-coding RNA is filed under the name Mus musculus (house mouse). RNAcentral describes it as "long non-coding RNA chr2:125124032-125126211". The record is from RNAcentral. Lineage: Eukaryota; Metazoa; Chordata; Mammalia; Rodentia; Muridae.